ACGCACGCUGGCGGCGUGCUUAACACAUGCAAGUCGAACGAUGAAGAAAAGAAUUGAAGCUUCGGCAGAAAUUCAUUUCGGAUUAGUGGCAGACGGGUGAGUAACGCGUGAGCAACCUACCUCUUACAAAGGGAUAGCCUCGGGAAACCGGGAUUAAUACCAUAUAACAUUGCGACGAAGCAUUUCGAUGCAAUCAAAGCUACGGCGGUAAGAGAUGGGCUCGCGUCCCAUUAACCAGAUGGUGAGGUAACGGCUCACCAUAGUAACGAUGGGUAACCGGCCUGAGAGGGUGAACGGUCACACUGGAACUGAGACACGGUCCAGACUCCUACAGGAGGCAGCAGUGGGGAAUAUUGCACAAUGGAGGGAACUCUGAUGCAGCGACGCCGCGUGAGUGAUGAAGGAAUUCGUUUCGUAAAACUCUGUUCUAUGGGAAGAAAAGGACUGUACCAUAGGAGAAAGCUCCGGCUAAAUACGUG
This 479-nucleotide ribosomal RNA is filed under the name uncultured bacterium. RNAcentral's name for it is "partial 16S ribosomal RNA". It matches the Rfam family "Bacterial small subunit ribosomal RNA", at positions 29 to 507 of the family's 1533-position model. The record is from RNAcentral.